CCUGACGACCAUAGCAGGUUGGCCCCACCCCUUCCCAUCCCGAACAGGACCGUGAAACGAUACUGCGCCAAUGAUAGUGCUGAAACCAGUGCGAAAGUAGGUUAUUGUCAGGC
This 113-nucleotide ribosomal RNA is filed under the name Burkholderiaceae bacterium. Lineage: Bacteria; Pseudomonadati; Pseudomonadota; Betaproteobacteria; Burkholderiales; Burkholderiaceae. The record is from RNAcentral.